GACGAACGCUGGCGGCGUGCUUAACACAUGCAAGUCGAACGGAAAGGCCCUGCUUUUGUGGGGUGCUCGAGUGGCGAACGCGUGAGUAACACGUGAGUAACCUGCCCUUGACUUUCUGAUAACUUCAGGAAACUGGGGCUAAUACCUGAUAUGAUCUCCUGCUACAUGGUGGGGGUUGGAAAGUUUCGGCGGUUGGGGAUUUACUAGAGGCUUAUGAGCUUGUUUGUGGGGUAGUUGCUUACCAAGGCUUUGACUGCUAGGCGUCCUGAGAGGGUUACCGGGGACAUUGGGACUGCGAUAGGGAGCAGAAUCGUACCGGAGGCAGUGGUGGGGAGCAUUGCACAACGGGCGGACGUGUGAUGGAGAGACGUGGCGUUCGGGAAGAUCGGUUUCGGGUUGUAAACAGCUUUGGACUGUGACGAAGCCUGAGUGACGGUAAUGGGUCAGGAAGCACCGGCUAACUACGUG
RNAcentral lists this ribosomal RNA (468 nucleotides) under uncultured bacterium. RNAcentral describes it as "partial 16S ribosomal RNA". It matches the Rfam family "Bacterial small subunit ribosomal RNA", at positions 28 to 507 of the family's 1533-position model. The record is from RNAcentral.